This 443-nucleotide ribosomal RNA is filed under the name uncultured bacterium. Its description in RNAcentral is "partial 16S ribosomal RNA". It matches the Rfam family "Bacterial small subunit ribosomal RNA", at positions 338 to 795 of the family's 1533-position model. The record is from RNAcentral.
CCUACGGGUGGCAGCAGUGGGGAAUAUUGGGCAAUGGAGGCAACUCUGACCCGGCAACGCCGCGUGAAUGAUGAAGGUCUUCGGAUUGUAAAGUUCUGUGAUGGGGGAUGAACACAAUGACGGUACCCCAAUAGCAAGCCACGGCUAACUACGUGCCAGCAGCCGUGGUAAUACGUAGGUGGCAAGCGUUAUCCGGAAUGACUGGGCGUAAAGGGUGCGUAGGUGGUUUAGUAAGUUGGCGGUGUAAUUCCGGGGCUCAACCUCGGCGCUACCGCGCAAACUAUGAGACUAGAGUGCACGGGAGGUAAGUGGAAUUCCUGGUGUAGCGGUGGAAUGCGUAGAUAUUAGGAGGAACAGCGGGGGCGAAGGCGACUUACUGGACUGUAACUGACGCUGAGGCACGAAGGCGUGGGGAGCAAACAGGAUUAGAUACCCUAGUAGUC